GACGAACGCUGGCGGCGUGCCUAACACAUGCAAGUGGAGCGACGAACCGGGGCUUGCCCCGGUGCAGAGCCGCGAACGGGUGAGUAACACGUGCGUGACCUGCCCCCAUGACUGGGACAACCCGUCUAAAGACGGGCUAAUACCUGAUGUGCCCCUUGUGGGAACGGAAGGUUCGGCCUCCGCAUCGGGUUUUGCCCGCGGCGCAUUAGCUUGUUGGUGGGGUAAUGGCUUACCAAGGCGACGAUGCGUAGCUGGUCUGAGAGGACGAUCAGCCACACUGGAACUGAGACACGGCCCAGACUCCUACGGGAGGCAGCAGUGGGGAAUCUUGCACAAUGCGCGAAAGCGUGAUGCAGCAACGCCGCGUGAGGGAAGAAGGCCUUCGGGUUGUAAAACGCUUUCAGUUGGGAAGAGGAUUUGAUCGUGAAUAGAGGUUUGGAGUGACGGUACCUACAGAAGAAGCGCCGGCUAACUACGUG
Molecule: ribosomal RNA, 479 nt
Filed under: uncultured bacterium
Lineage: Bacteria
Description: partial 16S ribosomal RNA
Rfam family: Bacterial small subunit ribosomal RNA
Source: RNAcentral